AAUGAACGCUAGCGGCAGGCUUAAUACAUGCAAGUCAAGGGGGUAGCAAGUACAACCGGCGCACGGGUGAGUAACGCGUACACAACAUACCAUAUACUGGAGUAGUAGCUUCGGGAAACUGAAGGUAAUCCUCCAUAACAUUGCGAGAAGGCAUCUAAUUGCAAUUAAAGUUUCGACGGUAUAUGAUUGGUGUGCGUUUGAUUAGCUAGUUGGUAGGGUAACGGCCUACCAAGGCGACGAUCAAUAGCUGGCGUGAGAGCGCGACCAGCCACACUGGAACUGAGACACGGUCCAGACUCCUACGGGA
RNAcentral lists this ribosomal RNA (307 nucleotides) under uncultured bacterium. RNAcentral's name for it is "bacterial SSU rRNA". It matches the Rfam family "Bacterial small subunit ribosomal RNA", at positions 29 to 346 of the family's 1533-position model. The record is from RNAcentral.